RNAcentral lists this ribosomal RNA (473 nucleotides) under uncultured bacterium. RNAcentral describes it as "bacterial SSU rRNA". It matches the Rfam family "Bacterial small subunit ribosomal RNA", at positions 335 to 801 of the family's 1533-position model. The record is from RNAcentral.
ACUCCUACGGGAGGCAGCAGUAGGGAAUCUUCCACAAUGGGCGCAAGCCUGAUGGAGCAACACCGCGUGAGUGAAGAAGGGUUUCGGCUCGUAAAGCUCUGUUGUUAAAGAAGAACACGUAUGAGAGUAACUGUUCAUACGUUGACGGUAUUUAGCCAGAAAGUCACGGCUAACUACGUGCCAGCAGCCGCGGUAAUACGUAGGUGGCAAGCGUUAUCCGGAUUUAUUGGGCGUAAAGAGAGUGCAGGCGGUUUUCUAAGUCUGAUGUGAAAGCCUUCGGCUUAACCGGAGAAGUGCAUCGGAAACUGGAUAACUUGAGUGCAGAAGAGGGUAGUGGAACUCCAUGUGUAGCGGUGGAAUGCGUAGAUAUAUGGAAGAACACCAGUGGCGAAGGCGGCUACCUGGUCUGCAACUGACGCUGAGACUCGAAAGCAUGGGUAGCGAACAGGAUUAGAUACCCUGGUAGGAUAGCG